RNAcentral lists this long non-coding RNA (1657 nucleotides) under Pongo abelii (Sumatran orangutan). RNAcentral describes it as "lincRNA". The record is from RNAcentral. Lineage: Eukaryota; Metazoa; Chordata; Mammalia; Primates; Hominidae.
GAAGACCCCAAAUGACAUAGAAGGUCUUGGAGAAGAGUCCAACAGAGACAUAUAUUCACAGACACGUGUACAUCUUUAUGCCCACACAGAAGGGUAAUAGCAGCCUUGCUUCAGAGGCCACACCUUCCAGGAAACCCUUCAGCCUGCCCUGUCUUAGCUGAUCCCUCUGCCAUCCCCUUGCAGAAGGAGCUUGGAGUCUCUCAGCUCAGCUGGACUAGAUGAAUCUUCUCAGGGUCAUCUUCUCCCACCUCUGGCUCCCAGUUCGUUCCCCCAAUCUCUCCCUCCCUGCUCUGUGAGAUCAGGGAAGCUGCAAAUCCAACCCUUACAUCAAAAGGGAACUUGAAAAAUACUUGGAGCAAAAACUGCUAACUGUGCAUCCUUGCUGUAUGCUGGUGCUGAUAUUAAAUCAGGAAAUGGCACUGAACAGCCGCUCCAAACACAGAAACAGGGGUUGUCAACACAGCAACCAAAAGCAAUCUCUAACGGGCAGAGGUGAAAGGGACCUGGCACAGGGCCGGGAGGGGGGCUGCAACCCAGGAAAGAAUUCCUGAGCUGAGUGUGUCUGUGCCACCUCUCCAGUGUCCAGAAUGAAGCCUGGAUCUCAGUCCCUGGUAUGGAACGCACCUUGUCUCCAUGAGGGAUGAAAGAUAAUUAAGCAUGUUGCUUAAAUACCUUUGAAAUUCUCCUUUUUAUUUCCAUACAUGUUUACCGAGCACCUACUAUGUGCCUGACGGUCCAAUAAAAAAGAUGCCUUCCCAUAUGGAGAUGACCUUCUAGCCCUCAGGACAGAACUCUGACCCUUUGACAUGGCAUUCAAGGUCCUUCGAGUGUUGGCUCCUGCAGAAGCCUUCAUCUCUGUUUCCAGCCUCCCUGAAAUAGCUCCCCAAGGGCACGAGGCAGUACCUUUGCUCCAUGCCUUUGCUUGGACUAGUCCUACCACCAGCUCUUCCUGCAUUUCUGUGUUUGGCAAAUUUCUGCUCAGCCUCCAAAGCCUUAACCAAGUGUCACCUUUUCUCUGCAGCAUUUUCUGCCACCCUCCCCAUUUCUUCCAAUAGAACCAGGGAUCAUUUACUUGGUAUCCAGCAGCACUGUGGACAUACUGCCAUCACAACACCUUUCAUGUCACAAUGGCAAGGUUUGCACCGUCCUGGAGGAGAGGAAAGAAGCCAUAUUCAUCCCUGAACCCUCAUCUCCCAGCACUGGUUGUAAAAUUGAAACAAAAAUGAAAACCCUUGAUGAAAUUCAUUGUUGGUGUGGCUAUGGGGAAACAGGUUUUCCAUUUCUGAUAGUAAAUGAAAUAGGUACCAUCUUGUUAGAGGCUAAUUUGACAUUAUUAACACUGAAAAUGCACACAUCUUUCAACCCAGCAAUUUUAUUUCUUGCUUUCUAGAGGAAUGUUUGCCCAUGUGCAGAAAGGCGCAUGUAAAAAGCUGAGUUGCAGCAUUGUUUGCAAUAGUAAAAGAUUUGAAAUUGCUUAAAUGUCCACCAAUAUGGCCUGGAUAAAAAACUAUAGGGCAUCCAUUGGAUAGAAUGCUAUGCAUUAGUUAAAAAGAAGUAGAUUUCCAUGUAUUGACCAAGCAUUUGCUGAGUAAAAAUCAAAAGCAAGCUGUAGCUCUAGACAUAGAUGUUAAAAUUACAUUGCUGCAUUUUUUCACGA